Molecule: ribosomal RNA, 250 nt
Filed under: uncultured prokaryote
Description: partial 16S ribosomal RNA
Rfam family: Bacterial small subunit ribosomal RNA
Source: RNAcentral
UACGAGGGGUGCAAGCGUUAUUCGGAUUCAUUGGGCGUAAAGGGUACGUAGACGGCGUAUUAAGUUAGUUGUUAAAUCUCUCGGCCUAACCGAGAUCAAGCAAUUAAGACUGGUAUGCUAGAGGUUGGAAGAGAGGAGUGGAAUUCUCGGAGUAGCGGUAAAAUGCGUAGAUAUCGAGAGGAACACCGAUGGCGAAGGCAGCUCCUUGGUCCAUACCUGACGUUGAGGUACGAAAGCGUGGGUAGCAAAC